Molecule: ribosomal RNA, 533 nt
Filed under: Bifidobacterium longum subsp. infantis
Lineage: Bacteria; Bacillati; Actinomycetota; Actinomycetes; Bifidobacteriales; Bifidobacteriaceae
Description: bacterial SSU rRNA
Rfam family: Bacterial small subunit ribosomal RNA
Source: RNAcentral
AAAGGGUGGUAAUGCCGGAUGCUCCAGUUGAUCGCAUGGUCUUCUGGGAAAGCUUUCGCGGUAUGGGAUGGGGUCGCGUCCUAUCAGCUUGACGGCGGGGUAACGGCCCACCGUGGCUUCGACGGGUAGCCGGCCUGAGAGGGCGACCGGCCACAUUGGGACUGAGAUACGGCCCAGACUCCUACGGGAGGCAGCAGUGGGGAAUAUUGCACAAUGGGCGCAAGCCUGAUGCAGCGACGCCGCGUGAGGGAUGGAGGCCUUCGGGUUGUAAACCUCUUUUAUCGGGGAGCAAGCGAGAGUGAGUUUACCCGUUGAAUAAGCACCGGCUAACUACGUGCCAGCAGCCGCGGUAAUACGUAGGGUGCAAGCGUUAUCCGGAAUUAUUGGGCGUAAAGGGCUCGUAGGCGGUUCGUCGCGUCCGGUGUGAAAGUCCAUCGCUUAACGGUGGAUCCGCGCCGGGUACGGGCGGGCUUGAGUGCGGUAGGGGAGACUGGAAUUCCCGGUGUAACGGUUGAAUGUGUACAUAUCGGGAA